UAGGUCCACGCCGUAAACGAUGUGUGCUAGAUGUCGGGUCCAUAGGAUUCGGUGUCGCAGCUAACGCACUAAGCACACCGCCUGGGGAGUACGGUCGCAAGAUUAAAACUCAAAGAAAUUGACGGGGACCCGCACAAGCGGUGGAGCAUGUUGUUUAAUUCGACGCAACGCGAAGAACCUUACCUACACUUGACAUACUCGUCGGGGAUUUCAGAGAUGAUUUCCUUCGGUUCGGCCGGACGAUGUACAGGUGCUGCACGGCUGUCGUCAGCUCGUGUCGUGAGAUGUUUGGUUAAGUCCAGCAACGAGCGCAACCCCUAUCGUAUGUUACCAGCAUUUAGUUGGGGACUCAUGCGAGACUGCCGGUGUUAAGCCGGAGGAAGGUGGGGACGACGUCAAGUCAUCAUGGCCCUUACGUGUAGGGCUACAAACGUGCUACAAUGGAUAUUACAGUGGGCAGCGACAUCGCGAGGUGAAGCUAAUCCCUAAAAGUAUUCUCAGUUC
This 504-nucleotide ribosomal RNA is filed under the name uncultured bacterium. RNAcentral's name for it is "bacterial SSU rRNA". It matches the Rfam family "Bacterial small subunit ribosomal RNA", at positions 791 to 1294 of the family's 1533-position model. The record is from RNAcentral.